UACUUGUUUAUGAGAGUAAAGAGACUGAGAGACGUUUACGUUGUACUAUAUUAUACAAUACAUUAUACGAUUAUUGAAGUCUGUUGCAUUCGCGCAUGCGAGCUUAUCCUAUAAAUUAUGUGUUUGUGUUUUAUUUUAUAAAUAAUUUAUCUUCGGUUGAACUGGUGAAUAAGAACAUAAUUAUUAAUAUUCACUUUGAAUUCAAUGUCUCUUGAAAACUAAGUUUCCUUUGUGUAAAUUGUUUAUUUUUGUCCAAAUCAUAACUUCCUCCUAAUAAUUAUAAUGUUUUUUUAAAACUUAAUACAUAAUGCAGUAAACACAUUCCAGGAAAUAAAAGUAUUGACACAUAUAAAAAGGGGCAUUUCACUAACUAUUGUGAGUAAUAUAGAAGAGUUAAAAACAUUCGUAGAAAACACAAUAUGACAUUGUACCUGUCCGUUGUUUACAGUUUAGUUUACAUGUGUGCAGCUCCCGACGUUGGAUUACGACCAGGGUACUGCGGCCCGGGAUAUUUUGGAUUGUUUUGUGGAGAUAUUUGCCCAUAUCCUUACUACGGUAAACUCUGCGCUGACACGUGUUCUUGCGCAAAAAAAUAUUGCAGUCAUGUGAAUGGAUGCAUACGUGCUUCCAGUUGUCCAUCCGGAUUUAUUGGUAGUUUUUGUGAAUCAAAGUGCAUCUUUCCGUCCUAUGGAGUCGGUUGCCAACAAAAAUGUCUUUGCACGGAAGCAGUCUGUAACUUUUCAACCGGAUGUCAAA
Magallana angulata is the source of this 756-nucleotide long non-coding RNA. RefSeq lists it as uncharacterized. The transcript is spliced from 3 exons. The record is from RefSeq and is a predicted model, not a curated record. NCBI's taxonomy places the organism in Eukaryota, Metazoa, Mollusca, Bivalvia, Ostreida, Ostreidae.